Cyprinus carpio carpio is the source of this 365-nucleotide long non-coding RNA. NCBI's taxonomy places the organism in Eukaryota, Metazoa, Chordata, Actinopteri, Cypriniformes, Cyprinidae. The record is from Ensembl.
AAUUGCAGACAGAAAAAAAUUUGACGCCUACUGUUUUGAUGCUAAAGAUACAUCAGAGAAGAACUGCGCAGCUUUGCUUGACCCUGAGAGUUCAAACAAAACAGAUGGCGACUCGGCAUUUGCAGAAGUCCCAACACACCGACCAAAUGCAGGAGAGGAAGAUUCUGAAAAUUCAACAUCUGAAGUCACAUCUGUGUCUGAGUCCUCUACUCCAGAUCACUUGAUGCAGACCAGUCCCUCACAGGGCCCUGUGGAACAGAACCACACUGAUCAAACAGAUGAUCAGACGAACCGUUAUACACGUAAAGAGUUGACAAAUCCAGACACCACAGGGCUGGGAGUGACCCCUAAAGAAACAGCAACAA